This 497-nucleotide ribosomal RNA is filed under the name uncultured bacterium. RNAcentral's name for it is "partial 16S ribosomal RNA". It matches the Rfam family "Bacterial small subunit ribosomal RNA", at positions 28 to 507 of the family's 1533-position model. The record is from RNAcentral.
GAUGAACGCUGGCGGCGUGCCUAAUACAUGCGAGUAGAACGCUGAAGGAAGGAGCUUGCUCUUUCCGGAUGAGUUGCGAACGGGUGAGUAACGCGUAGGUAACCUGCCUGGUAGCGGGGGAUAACUAUUGGAAACGAUAGCUAAUACCGCAUAACAGUAGAUGUUGCAUGAUAUCUACUUAAAAGGUGCAAUUGCACCACUACCAGAUGGACCUGCGUUGUAUUAGCUAGUUGGUGAGGUAACGGCUCACCAAGGCGACGAUACAUAGCCGACCUGAGAGGGUGAUCGGCCACACUGGGACUGAGACACGGCCCAGACUCCUACGGGAGGCAGCAGUAGGGAAUCUUCGGCAAUGGACGGAAGUCUGACCGAGCAACGCCGCGUGAGUGAAGAAGGUUUUCGGAUCGUAAAGCUCUGUUGUAAGAGAAGAACGAGUGUGAGAGUGGAAAGUUCACACUGUGACGGUAUCUUACCAGAAAGGGACGGCUAACUACGUG